UCACAAUGAUGAAUGGUCCAAAACAUUCGCGGUUUCCACCAGAACCUCAGAUGUUGGCAGUUCCUUCCUUGGAUGUCUGAGUGA
This 84-nucleotide small nucleolar RNA is filed under the name Sus scrofa (pig). RNAcentral's name for it is "Small nucleolar RNA SNORD14 (ENSSSCG00070024795.1)". It matches the Rfam family "Small nucleolar RNA SNORD14". From Rfam's summary of the family: U14 small nucleolar RNA (U14 snoRNA) is required for early cleavages of eukaryotic precursor rRNAs. In yeasts, this molecule possess a stem-loop region (known as the Y-domain) which is essential for function. The record is from Rfam by way of RNAcentral. Lineage: Eukaryota; Metazoa; Chordata; Mammalia; Artiodactyla; Suidae.